GAUGAACGCUGGCGGCGCGCCUAACACAUGCAAGUCGAACGAGUAAGACGCCUUCGGGCGUGCAUAGAGUGGCGAACGGGUGAGUAACACGUGACCAACCUGCCCCCUCCUCCGGGACAACCUCGGGAAACCGAGGCUAAUACCGGAUACUCCGGGCCCCCCGCAUGGGGAGCCCGGGAAAGCCCUGGCGGGAGGGGAUGGGGUCGCGGCCCAUCAGGUAGACGGCGGGGUAACGGCCCACCGUGCCUACUACGGGUAGCCGGGCUGAGAGGCCGAUCGGCCACAUUGGGACUGAGACACGGCCCAGACUCCUACGGGAGGCAGCAGUGGGGAAUUUUGCGCAAUGGGGGCAACCCUGACGCAGCGACGCCGCGUGCGGGACGAAGUCAUUCGUGACGUAAACCGCUUUCAGCGAGGAAGAACC
This 424-nucleotide ribosomal RNA is filed under the name uncultured bacterium. RNAcentral describes it as "bacterial SSU rRNA". It matches the Rfam family "Bacterial small subunit ribosomal RNA", at positions 28 to 451 of the family's 1533-position model. The record is from RNAcentral.